GACUACCAUGCCGCCGCCGGUUCCCAAACGGGAUUAAUAGGGAAUCCGUGAUGCUGCCAACGCAUCAAACGGAACUGCCCCCGCAACUGUAGGUGCCGAGCCUGCUCCUGAACUGCCACUGGGAUCGAUUCCCGGGAAGGCUGGAGCACGCCAUGACGCAUCAGUCAGGAGACCUGCCGGCCAAGCAACAAAUCA
This 195-nucleotide non-coding RNA is filed under the name Pseudomonas sp. Lineage: Bacteria; Pseudomonadati; Pseudomonadota; Gammaproteobacteria; Pseudomonadales; Pseudomonadaceae. The record is from RNAcentral.